Molecule: ribosomal RNA, 200 nt
Filed under: uncultured bacterium
Lineage: Bacteria
Description: partial 16S ribosomal RNA
Rfam family: Bacterial small subunit ribosomal RNA
Source: RNAcentral
GAUGAACGCUAGCGGCAGGCCUAACACAUGCAAGUCGAGGGGUAGAACAGAGGAGCUUGCUCCUUGGGUGGCGAGUGGCGGACGGGUGAGUAAUGCAUCGGGAUCUACCCUGACGUGGGGGAUAACCUCGGGAAACCGGGACUAAUACCGCAUACGUCCUACGGGAGAAAGCGGGGGACCUUCGGGCCUCGCGCGGCAGG